RNAcentral lists this ribosomal RNA (1045 nucleotides) under Weissella paramesenteroides. Its description in RNAcentral is "bacterial SSU rRNA". It matches the Rfam family "Bacterial small subunit ribosomal RNA", at positions 1 to 1051 of the family's 1533-position model. Lineage: Bacteria; Bacillati; Bacillota; Bacilli; Lactobacillales; Lactobacillaceae. The record is from RNAcentral.
GUCGUCGUGCUGGACACCCAGUCGUACCCUGGUGACCUUAAUUGAUCUGACGAGCUUGGUCUGAUGUGAUUUUAUCUGACAAAGAGUGGCGAACGGGUGAGUAACACGUGGGUAACCUACCUCUUAUCAGGGGAUAACAUUUGGAAACAAGUGCUAAUACCGUAUAAUACCAACAACCGCAUGGUUGUUGGUUGAAAGAUGGUUCUGCUAUCACUAAGAGAUGGACCCGCGGUGCAUUAGCUAGUUGGUAAGGUAACGGCUUACCAAGGCAAUGAUGCAUAGCCGAGUUGAGAGACUGAUCGGCCACAAUGGGACUGAGACACGGCCCAUACUCCUACGGGAGGCAGCAGUAGGGAAUCUUCCACAAUGGGCGCAAGCCUGAUGGAGCAACGCCGCGUGUGUGAUGAAGGGUUUCGGCUCGUAAAACACUGUUAUAAGAGAAGAACGGCACUGAGAGUAACUGUUCAGUGUGUGACGGUAUCUUACCAGAAAGGAACGGCUAAAUACGUGCCAGCAGCCGCGGUAAUACGUAUGUUCCAAGCGUUAUCCGGAUUUAUUGGGCGUAAAGCGAGCGCAGACGGUUAUUUAAGUCUGAAGUGAAAGCCCUCAGCUCAACUGAGGAAUGGCUUUGGAAACUGGAUGACUUGAGUGCAGUAGAGGAAAGUGGAACUCCAUGUGUAGCGGUGAAAUGCGUAGAUAUAUGGAAGAACACCAGUGGCGAAGGCGGCUUUCUGGACUGUAACUGACGUUGAGGCUCGAAAGUGUGGGUAGCAAACAGGAUUAUAUACCCUGGUAGUCCACACCGUAAACGAUGAGUGCUAGAUGUUCGAGGGUUUCCGCCCUUGAGUGUCGCAGCUAACGCAUUAAGCACUCCGCCUGGGGAGUACGACCGCAGGUUGAAACUCAAAGGAAUUGACGGGGACCCGCACAGCGGUGGAGCAUGUGGUGUAUUCGUAGCAACGCGAGACCUUACCAGGUCGUGACGUCCUCUGCUGAUCCUACAAUAGACGUUCCCUCGGGACAGGUGACAGGUGGUGCAUGAUGU